Molecule: ribosomal RNA, 823 nt
Filed under: alpha proteobacterium SCGC AAA298-E23
Lineage: Bacteria; Pseudomonadati; Pseudomonadota; Alphaproteobacteria
Description: SSU rRNA
Rfam family: Bacterial small subunit ribosomal RNA
Source: RNAcentral
GGCGGCACGCCUAAUACAUGCAAGUCGAACGGGGUAGCAAUACCUAGUGGCAGACGGGUGAGUAACAUGUGGGUAUCUUCCCUUUGGUGAGGAAUAACACGAGGAAACUUGUGCUAAUACCUCAUAAGUCUUUACGGAGAAAGCUUUAUGCGCCAAUGGAUGAGCCCGCACUUGAUUAGUUAGUUGGUAGGGUAAUGGCCUACCAAGACUUUGAUCAAUAGCUGAUUUGAGAGGAUGAUCAGCCACAUUGGGACUGAGACACGGCCCAAACUCCUACGGGAGGCAGCAGUAGGGAAUCUUGCACAAUGGAGGAAACUCUGAUGCAGCGAUGCCGCGUGAGUGAAGAAGGCCUUUGGGUUGUAAAGCUCUUUCGUCGGGGAAGAAAAUGACUGUACCCGAAUAAGAAGGUCCGGCUAACUUCGUGCCAGCAGCCGCGGUAAUACGAAGGGACCUAGCGUAGUUCGGAAUUACUGGGCUUAAAGAGUUCGUAGGUGGUUAAAAAAGUUGGUGGUGAAAUCCCAGAGCUUAACUCUGGAACUGCCAUCAAAACUUUUUAGCUAGAGUAUGAUAGAGGAAAGCAGAAUUUCUAGUGUAGAGGUGAAAUUCGUAGAUAUUAGAAAGAAUACCAAUUGCGAAGGCAGCUUUCUGGAUCAUUACUGACACUGAGGAACGAAAGCAUGGGUAGCGAAGAGGAUUAGAUACCCUCGUAGUCCAUGCCGUAAACGAUGUGUGUUAGAUGUUGGAAAUUUAUUUUCAGUAUCGCAGUGAAAGCGUUAAACACACCGCCUGGGGAGUACGACCGCAAGUAAACUCAAUGGAUGCG